This 253-nucleotide ribosomal RNA is filed under the name uncultured bacterium. RNAcentral's name for it is "partial 16S ribosomal RNA". It matches the Rfam family "Bacterial small subunit ribosomal RNA", at positions 524 to 776 of the family's 1533-position model. The record is from RNAcentral.
UACGAAGGGUCCAAGCGUUGUUCGGAAUCAUUGGGCGUAAAGCGUGAGUAGGUGGUUUGCUAAGUCGGGUGUGAAAUCCCUGGGCUCAACCCAGGAAGUGCAUUCGAAACUAGCUGGCUAGAAGAUGGUAGAGGAAGGUGGAAUUCCAAGUGUAGAGGUGAAAUUCGUAGAUAUUUGGAGGAAUACCGGCGGCGAAGGCGGCCUUCUGGACCAUUCUUGACACUGAGACACGAAAGCGUGGGUAGCAAACAGG